Molecule: ribosomal RNA, 255 nt
Filed under: uncultured bacterium
Lineage: Bacteria
Description: partial 16S ribosomal RNA
Rfam family: Bacterial small subunit ribosomal RNA
Source: RNAcentral
CAAACUAAAGAUGGCGACCGGCGCACGGGUGAGUAACACGUAUCCAACCUGCCGAUAACUCGGGGAUAGCCUUUCGAAAGAAAGAUUAAUAUCCGAUGGUAUAUUAAAACCGCAUGGUUUUACUAUUAAAGAAUUUCGGUUAUCGAUGGGGAUGCGUUCCAUUAGUUUGUUGGCGGGGUAACGGCCCACCAAGACUACGAUGGAUAGGGGUUCUGAGAGGAAGGUCCUCCACAUUGGAACUGAGACACGGUCCAA